This 466-nucleotide ribosomal RNA is filed under the name uncultured bacterium. Its description in RNAcentral is "partial 16S ribosomal RNA". It matches the Rfam family "Bacterial small subunit ribosomal RNA", at positions 28 to 507 of the family's 1533-position model. The record is from RNAcentral.
GAUGAACGCUGGCGGCGUGCUUAACACAUGCAAGUCGAACGAUGAAGCCCAGCUUGCUGGGUGGAUUAGUGGCGAACGGGUGAGUAACACGUGAGUAACCUGCCCUUAACUCUGGGAUAAGCCUGGGAAACUGGGUCUAAUACCGGAUAGGAGCGUCCACCGCAUGGUGGGUGUUGGAAAGAUUUAUCGGUUUUGGAUGGACUCGCGGCCUAUCAGCUUGUUGGUGAGGUAAUGGCUCACCAAGGCGACGACGGGUAGCCGGCCUGAGAGGGUGACCGGCCACACUGGGACUGAGACACGGCCCAGACUCCUACGGGAGGCAGCAGUGGGGAAUAUUGCACAAUGGGCGGAAGCCUGAUGCAGCGACGCCGCGUGAGGGAUGACGGCCUUCGGGUUGUAAACCUCUUUCGGUAGGGAAGAAGCGAAAGUGACGGUACCGGCAGAAGAAGCACCGGCUAACUACGUG